This is a non-coding RNA of Salvelinus sp. IW2-2015, 1135 nucleotides long. The record is from RefSeq and is a predicted model, not a curated record. Lineage: Eukaryota; Metazoa; Chordata; Actinopteri; Salmoniformes; Salmonidae.
UGCUAAGACAAUGUGUGUAUGGCAAAUGUAAUUUCCUAUUUUCUUAAUGUCUGUCUCCGUUCCUAUAGGACCAGUCACUGUGGGCGUGUCUCGCUGGCAUGGCAAUGGCCAAUAGGGAGAUGACGACAGUGGAGGUGGCCUACGCUGCCAUUGGAGAGGGCAUUGGAGCUGGCAGUAAAACAUAAGACCCAUGUGGACACAGUGCUGGCCUACAGACUCCAAGAUCCUGYAGGACUUUAGCAAGAAAGAGACCAACAAGAGGUUCAUGCAGUACGCUGACAGGUGGAGGUGAACUGGGAAAAGAUCCAGGCGAAGGUUAAGGAGAGAGAGAAGGCUGCCAUCACCUCUGUCAGGAGCAGCUUGGCCUCUCGACUCUGACCUCAUCCAGGGACCAAAUGUACAUCAUAUUUUCAAGUGGUCAUUUAUCAAACAUGACGCAGACCAGAAUCAAUUCAAGCAGAACUUUGAGAGCAAGCAUCCCAAGUCUCCAAUUGUCCCAAUACUGGUUGAUGUGCAGGCCUAAGUGACCACAUUCACUGAAAUGGACCUACAGCUUGGACACACGAUGACCACGAUUUGAAUGCUGCAACUGAGACUGCAUGAGGGACACACAGUGUAUGACUGGAUAUUUGUGACAACGACCUAAAAGGGCUGCAGAGGCACACCAGCCCCCAUUUUGUUUAUUCCACAGCCAAGCAUCCCUCUAGCUACCCCUUAUUCCACAGUGCCUUUUAUGCCCCAUGGUCCCUCAACAUCAGACAUUUUGGAACUCUCCAUCUUAUCUCUAUAAACCCACCCUAACUUCACCCAUUUUCUCUAUGCUGCUUCCUACAUUGGUUCUUCUCCUGAUUUGAUAACGUCUAGACUAAGUUACAAAGUGUUGUGGUGUACUGUUUUUGUUACUUUUUUUUCACCAGUGUAAUACUGUCCUGCUUAUUUUGUGGUUCAAACUGAAUGCAGUGGUAAAUGUUCUGCUCACAACUGACAUCAGCGAUAUGGGCCUGUUACAUUGACAAGAAGGGUGUUGAUAUAGCUGCGUUCAGCCAUGGCUUCCUUGUUUUGAGUCUAUUGAGUGUGUUUCUUAUUCUGCUGGAGUUGACCUAGUAUUUUAUAUUAAACCUACCUUACAUAUCCA